Molecule: long non-coding RNA, 2013 nt
Organism: Helianthus annuus (common sunflower)
Lineage: Eukaryota; Viridiplantae; Streptophyta; Magnoliopsida; Asterales; Asteraceae
Exons: 7
Source: RefSeq, a predicted model, not a curated record
UUAAGACGAAAACUGAACGAUCAUGGGUUCUCACCCUAAGCUUCAUCUUCUUCUCCCAGAUUUGCCCCCAAUUCAUUGUCACCUGCUAAACAGUCCAAGCCUUUAUGAUUGAAUGUUUACAGCCGCAUACGGAAUUGGACGAGUUUGCCAACUAAAAUCAAUUACACCAUACGUUUCAUACCUGCAAUUAUAUAACAUCGAACCAAUCAUGGAAUUGGGUACUCAUUCGCAGGUUGAUUUGUCUACACUCAGGUCCUCCCCACGUCUCCUUAAUUUCAUAGCCCUGCAACCAGAAUCCCCAUAUCUCAGAACGCUUUGCUUUCGGAUUAGGAGAUUUCAUUUCAAAUAAAAAAGGGGAACUCAUUAUCAAACUCUUCGUUUUGAUGCAAAUUUAUUGGACCAACUGAAGUUCUUUUUAUUGCUGUGACUGAGGUAACAUCCGAUGUCUAUAAGCGCCUUACUUAUGCUCUCUUGUUUUGUUGUUCAAUCGAAGUGUGAAAUUGAAAUCUAAGCUGCUAUUAAUACGUAAUUUGUAGCAAAUGUUCUGUCUAAGUUGUUCAUUCUUCAAGACAUAAAGGUACAUUUUUUUUAAUUUUACCCCAUUUUGUUUGGUGGUUGUUCUUCCAAGUUUGUUGAUGUAAUAUAGAACAAAAAUUUAUAAUCUAAUCUGUUAGUUGUUAGUUGAGCAUGUCAUAAUCAAUUGUCUGUUCAAAAUUUCUCUCAGCUUUGUUAAUUCAAAUUAAUGUAUGUACAUUUGUAAAUAUUUAUUUGUUAUUAAAGUAUGCGUAAUUCUGUAAAAAAUGAAUUGCGUAGGUGUAAUUCGAUUGCCAUUGCCAGGUGAGUUACUCCAUCAUUUAGGAUUCUUGUAGCAACAUUUUGUUUUAAGUUAGGAUACUAAUGUUUCUCUUUUAGAUAAAGUUGGAUUAAGGUAAUCAAUUAGCCAAGAUGUUUGACCUGAAAAUGAAUAGGUUAUUAUAAGCCACGGUUGCACAAACAUGAUCUAAAUAUCUUGACUGCUCGAAUUGAAGAUUCAAAUAGGUCAAGUAGGUUGAGUGGUCUAUCUAGCGUGAAAUUUAAAAAGAGUCCCAAAUUUUUAUUUUGCUUUGGGCCACCAAAAUGGUUGAGCCGGCCCUGCUUAUAGCAUUUAAUUUCAUUAAUAUCUACUAAAAUUAGGAGGUUGACAUUGUCGAAUGUGGUUUAUUGAUUACGUAAUUCUUGAUUGAUUAACUAUGUUUCAGGGGUUCCGUUUCCAACAUCAUUUCUGUUUGUUUCGCAGCACAAAAGUUUGAUUUAUCCGAUUCUGUAUGAUGCAAGCUAUAAUUUAGGAUGCUAAAAGGCAAAAGGCGACAGACCCCGUCCACGCAUGCGAAGACCACUGAUCCACCACCAUCCAUUGACUGGAGGACGAAUGGAGCCGUCAAACCUAUGAAGAACCAAGGCUGAUGUGGUAGUUGUUGGGCGUUUUCAACCAUAGUUGGGGUGGAGGGAACAACUAAUCAACCGAAUCCAACACAUCCCAGAACGUGAACAACAACAACCACACUGCAAAACAAAUUACACGAAAUUUAUUUCUAUGCCACAUUUUAACAUUCGUAAAACGCAGGUCCUUAUGAAAAACAAACACUACAACCAGUUAACCAUCAUAAGAAAAGGAAAACCCCAGCUGUAACAAAACCAUUUGUCAGUGAGUAUGACCCCCAGUGGAUUCCCUAGCAGCUUUCUGAUGUUAAACGAGUCAAAUUCAAUGGGUCGUCCAAGAAAAAAAUGGCUAAGAAAGUUGCUGAAAUGAACAUUGAUUCUUUAAAGGCUGUUGGAAAUGGAAGUAUCUUUAAACAUGUAGGCUAUAUUUGCUGUUAUGGAACUAUAAAAAUCUUAAUGUAGGUUGUAUAUGUUAUAAGACAUUGUUAUCAACCGUUGACCCGUUUGACGUCUUUUUCCUUCUUUAAUUUGUAGCCCAGUACCUUUUUUCUCAUUUGACCCACCAUAGAUAAAAAAUAACCAAAAUUACUUAUU